AUCAAACACCACAUAUUCACAGAGGCCAGAAAGCUCAGACGCUAAGCUCCCCAUCCAGGGCGUGAGGUUCAAGGUGGAAGCGGGAAACGUGUGCCCAACAGCAUGACGCCUGCCACGACAGAAGUGGCAGCAAUGGGUGUUACCAGAGUCUGGAGAAGGACGUCCAGAUGUGGGGAGCCCAGAGAAGCUCCAAAGAACAAACGAUGGGCUAGCCGAUCUUGAGGAGACACAGAGGCCGGAACAGCAAACACAAAGGCACUGUGGUACGAGCGUGGUCUUCACUUGCUACCAUCUGAUACCGGGGUUUUCUAUAAAGGAGGAGCCAGGCUGGGCUUCUGUUUUCCCACAACCCCUGGCCCAGGCCCUGGCAGGGAGCACCCAGCAAGAGCUCAGCACAGAAGGGACUGGGCAAUCAUCUGCUCUAACUUGGCAUGCAGAGCAGAAAGCUCUCCUUCCUAGUCUUACCAAGUGCCUGAAUGCCUCCAGGGAUGGGCUCCUUGUUCCCUGCUGCCAGUGGACUGGUGCCUACGACUCCAGGAAGACUGAGCUCCGUGGGGCAGUUUCUCUGGAGCCAAGGAGUUCAGAGUUCAUGAAUAAAUGAAGAGGGAGGAAGCGGGAAGGGAUGUUUAUCGAUCCACAAAUCUCUACGUGCCAGUGUCUGCCCCACAAAUGCGUGGGUAUGCAGCCGUGUGCAGUUUUGAAUACAUACGUACAAACACACACACACAUGCACACUAUAGCCCCAAAGCUCUCUCUCCGAAGGACUGGCAGGGGGUAGAAGGAAGGUAACAAGAAGUCUCUCGGGGCGCCUGGGUGGC
Molecule: long non-coding RNA, 818 nt
Organism: Hyaena hyaena (striped hyena)
Lineage: Eukaryota; Metazoa; Chordata; Mammalia; Carnivora; Hyaenidae
Exons: 3
Source: RefSeq, a predicted model, not a curated record